RNAcentral lists this ribosomal RNA (253 nucleotides) under uncultured bacterium. Its description in RNAcentral is "partial 16S ribosomal RNA". It matches the Rfam family "Bacterial small subunit ribosomal RNA", at positions 524 to 776 of the family's 1533-position model. The record is from RNAcentral.
UACAGAGGUCUCAAGCGUUGUUCGGAUUUACUGGGCGUAAAGGGUGCGUAGGUGGUGGGGAAAGUCUGAUGUGAAAUCUCCAAGCUCAACUUGGAAAUGGCAUUGGAAACUACCCUGCUAGAGGGUUGAAGGGGGGACUGGAAUGCUCGGUGUAGCAGUGAAAUGCGUAGAUAUCGAGCGGAACACCAGUGGCGAAGGCGAGUCCCUGGACAACUCCUGACACUGAGGCACGAAAGCUACGGGAGCAAACAGG